RNAcentral lists this transfer RNA (74 nucleotides) under Chloroflexota bacterium. RNAcentral's name for it is "Chloroflexi bacterium tRNA-Gln". It matches the Rfam family "tRNA". From Rfam's summary of the family: Transfer RNA (tRNA) molecules are approximately 80 nucleotides in length. Their secondary structure includes four short double-helical elements and three loops (D, anti-codon, and T loops). Further hydrogen bonds mediate the characteristic L-shaped molecular structure. tRNAs have two regions of fundamental functional importance: the anti-codon, which is responsible for specific mRNA codon recognition, and the 3' end, to which the tRNAs corresponding amino acid is attached (by aminoacyl-tRNA synthetases). tRNAs cope with the degeneracy of the genetic code in two manners: having more than one tRNA (with a specific anti-codon) for a particular amino acid; and 'wobble' base-pairing, i.e. permitting non-standard base-pairing at the 3rd anti-codon position. RNAcentral also lists the same sequence under 1 other name. Lineage: Bacteria; Bacillati; Chloroflexota. The record is from RNAcentral.
UGGGGAUUAGUCUAGUGGUAAGACGCCUGACUCUGGAUCAGGUAUCACAGGUUCGAAUCCUGUAUCCCCAGCCA